RNAcentral lists this long non-coding RNA (4397 nucleotides) under Marmota monax (woodchuck). Lineage: Eukaryota; Metazoa; Chordata; Mammalia; Rodentia; Sciuridae. The record is from RNAcentral.
AGACUUUGACAACAAACAUUAAUUUUCCUCACCUUCAGAUCUACAGAUGGUUUGGAACAGUUUGGCUUUGGGCUGAAAGCUGGGUUCUUCUGAGAGGUCCUGAAAGGCCUCUGCUCUGAAUCAGCAAACUGCUUCUUCUAUCAACAUUUCACAGGACAAAGCAAGUCACGUGGCUGUACCUGACAUCAACUGGGCAGGGAAGUAGACUUCUGCUAAAAAAAGAUGGCCAGGAUGAGGAUGGAGGAGAGAAUUCUGAGUCAAUAAUACAUUUUAGCACAAUAGCCAACAGUUCCAGAAUGCUAUCUCUAUUUUGCUCACUUAUUUAUCUAGUUAUAAUAGUGACUGGUCAAAAUAAGAAAUGAAUUGGAUCUUUCUUUUGUGAACAUGUUUAAUUCCCCGAUUAAAAAAAAAUGCUUUUCUUAAGGAUUACAUCACAUUAUAUAAGCAAUUGUUUAUUUAAUUGAAAAAUUUACACAAAGAACCACUAAAUAUUUGUGCAGGUUACCUAGGGAAAUGUGUCACUUGGAUAUUUUUAUACACUGCAUUAUUGUGGCAGUAGUGUGUGAUGCAUUUCUUGGGUAAACAUUCAACCAUGGAUGGAAUCAGAAAAAUUUAGUGACUCUUACUUAGGAAAAAGGACCUCCUUUCUAAUCUUCUUUAUGAUGUUCUUUCUUUGACUAUACCAUUUCUUUCCCUGUGGGGCUAGUAUUUAAUUAAUAGAAGCUCUAAAUUGCUGAAAUAAUUUAAUUCUUAUGCUUUGAUUCUUGUUCUGAGUGCAGUUGUAGAAAGCUUUAUAAGUGUAAUGAACAAUGUGUAAGUUAGUAAUGAAGCUGAAUGGUAAGGGAAAUCAGUACAAAGUCAAUUUUGCUUUCUUUGUAUCAUUGGCAAACCAUGGCCCAUGGAGCAAGUGUGGCCCCCAUUUAGUUUUGCAAAUAAAGUUUUAUUGAAACACAGCCAUGCACACUCAACAAUGUGCUCAUACUGCAGUAGCAGGGUUGAGUACUUGUAACAAAUAUUAUUAAAUUCAGAAAGGGUAAGGUGUUUACUCUUUGGUUCUUUAUGGGAAACUUUGUCAUCCCUUGUUCUAUAUAGUUAUUAUAAUGCUAAAAAGCAGUUUCAAAAAUAUAAAUGUUAUAAAAUGUAAAUACUUUGAUUUCUUAAAACACAAAAUGGUUAUUUUUCACACUCACAUCCACUGGAGGUCUGAUAUUUUGUGAGGAAUAUCUUGUAACCCUAGUUUAGGGUAUGUGAAUACAAGUCAGUAUAGGUUAGGUUUUGUUCAAUAACAAACAUCCCCCAACUCUCAGGGCCUUAACACAAUAAGUUUAUUUCUCAUUCCUGCUAAAGGCCUAUUAUGGAUCAGCAGAGUUAUGCCAGGAUCCAGGCUGUGGGAGCAGCUACUAUCAGGAGAAUGUCUGGCCACUCAGCAGAGGCAAAAGGAGUACUGAUAUUAAAGUUUCUAUCCAGAAGUGACACACAUCACUUGUCCAUGACCAAAGUGAGUUAUAUAGUUAUAACUAAUCUCAAGGGAAUGGGAAGUAAAAUUCUGUCAUAAACUUAGGAAGCAGGGAGGGGAGGAGAGAGAGAGAGAGAGAGAGAGAGAGGAAAACAUUUGGUAGAUAACAAUAGCGAUUACCAAAGUAUGAAACAAACAAAGCCAUUUCGGAAAGUGGCUUCAUAAUAGUAGGAAAGUAGCUGCCAUCUUAUAGGUAGCAAAGGUGUAAUGUCCCUGUGGUAGAAGUCUGCUGUGAUACAAAGGGCUAAUAAGUCCAUUUUAACUUGUAACUCCUUUUAUCUGCUCCUCUGUUACAUGGUUUUAUGUAUGUUUGGUUGGUGUGAAUUCUUCCUAGAGAAUGUCAGAUUAUUAAUUUCUUCUACUUACAGUUUUACUGCAACUUUACAUCUUUUUGCUUUUAUGAGUAAUGUGCUGGUUGCGACCUUAAGAUCCAGUGCUAAACUCCUACUUAAUUUGAAAUUCUACUACUUUAAAAAAAAACAAACAAACUGAGCAUUAUGCCAGACCAAAAACAUUUUAAAGACUCUGAAAAAACAAACUAAGAAAAUUCAUCACCUAGUAGUCAGUUUUCAAACUGGUCCACCAAUGAAACUAUUUACUUAUUUUUAUUGAAUCCCAAAUUAUUGUUCAUGAAUAGAGAUAGAGCAUCCAAACUGCUAGAAACGACACUGGUGAAUUUGGUUUUUCUAGAAACAACACUGGUGAAUUUGGUUUUUCCAUUACCUGGAAUUGCUACUUUAAAAAGGGUCUUUUGUUUUGUUUUUCUUCCUUCAUCCUCUAGUUUCAGAAAAAGAACAGUUCCACAGGAAAUGACGGACACAUUCAGGAGACUUUCAGAGGGCAAUGGACUGUGGGUCAGUCUAAGGAGGAGACCUGAAGUUGCGGAGGCUGCCUUGACUGGUGUAGAUUGAGAGCCAACCAGAGUCCAUGGAAAGAGGCUAUGAGAAAUGAAAUGCCCGUGUGUGUGUGUGUGUGUGUGUGUGUGUUAUUUAUUUAUUUGUAUGCUCUGUUAUACUUUAUUGGGUUUUAUUUAAACUGGUUGAAAGUUUGACAUGACAUUUAUGUUCAGAUUCUCCUUUGUUUGAUGAUGGAAUUGACAACUGAGGCUGAAAGUGCUCAAUCAUACCAGAUCUAGACAGCCCUUUAGAGAAAACCAGGAUUCUAACUUGGGAUAGUCAGGAGUCUCAUGGGACAGGAGCUCCAGGGGACAGCGAUUGUCGAUGGCUUUGUUCGCUGUGAAUGAAAAGUGCCUGGCACUCAGCAGGAACUCAAUAAGUAUUUUUUGAAUAAGCUAAGUCCAAAGGCAAGAGUGAAGUUGGGUUUGUGAAGAAGGAGCUCACUGAUAGAUCGGGAUGAGAUUUUGAGAGAGGAUAGAUGAAGGACAAAGAAGUUAAGAGUGGGGCAUCUACAUCUGGCUUGUCCGUUUUGGGCUAAAAGAACAUCAGUUUGGCUUUAAAGGUCAGAGUCAAGACAGAUAAAACAUUUAAAAAUUGAAGUGAAACAAAAUGGAUUUUGAGAAUUUAUAUAUUAAGAGAAGAAACUUUACUGAUGUAAAGUGAAGAAGGAUUUUUUAAUGUUUAUACCACCUGCAGUUUUAGGAUACUUUCAUGUACAGUCAUGUGUUGCAAAUGAUAUGCUAUCAAAGAUGGAGAGCAAGUACAGUGGUGGACUUAUAAGAUUUUUAUCUCAUAGUAGCAUUAUGGCUGUCUUAGUUUGUGUAAAUACCCUUUGGUGAGUUUGCACAAUGAUGAUAUCAUCUAAUGAUGCACUUCUCAAAACACAUCACCUUCAUUAAGCAAUGCAUGACUGUAUACACAUCUAGACCUUAAAAUAGGUAUUAUCCAGUGUUGGUGAUCAGCAAUGAUGAGGAAGGUUACAUGACUCGGGACUCACAGAAAGUAGUGGAACUGUGACUUGAACUCUAAGCUUUUGCUUCAAGUUCUGCAUUAUUUCCACAAUGCUAAUUUCCAUGCUGUAUUCCUGGACAUAUUUGCUAUAAUUUGGAUCUUAAAUGGUCCCCAAAGGCUCAUGUGUUAAGGCUCAGUCCCCAGGGUGGUGCUAUUGGGAGAUGGUGGGAUCUUUAAUAGGUGGGACCUGGUGGGAGGUCAUUAGAGGUCAUUCAGAGUGUGCCAUUGAAGGGGGUUGUGGAAUCCUAGCUCCCUCCUAGCUCUGUGUUGCUUCCUGGCCAUGAGAUGAGAGGUUUUACACUGCCAGGACUCCCACUAUGAUGGGGACCCUCAUUAUAGGUACAAAGAAAUGGGACCAGUCAGUCAUGGACUAGACUCUCCAAUGUCGUUCAUAGUAAUGAAAAGGUAACUGACAGAGGGACCCUAUUCCAUUUCCUAAAGGUCACAGAGUCCUUCCUGGGAAAGUCCUUCAGUACAAGGUUCUGAGUGCCUGGAGGAGACAAAGUGAGUCCCUUAUUGGUAAGCUCUGUUUUCCUCUUGGUGCUCUGUCAGGAAAGUGAUGUGGCAAUCCCAGGACUGCCAUCUUGUGAUCUGAGAAAUGACAGAUGGCUUUUCCUUCUUUUUUCUCCUGAAAGGAGCCACUUACUGCAAAAGCAGAGAUGGGUUAGUAAUAGCUGAGAAAUACGGCUUCAUGAUGAAUACUUGAGUGAGUGAACUGAUAUGUUUAGUUCUUUCCUUUUUCUCGCCCUUGAGAAGUGAAAAACAAAUGAUGGAAGAUAAGAUCUUGAGUGUCCAGGUGAUGCUGAGAAUUGAUCUAAAACUGAUCCUGACCAGCAUGACCUCUGUGGGCCAUCUUAAUGAGGCAUAAUUGGGACAGUCACUGCAGGGAUGUUCUUUCCUGGUAGAGCAUACAUUUUUAAUUUUCAGGGGUGAUUGACCUGAUUUCUCCCAUUCUCGUGGAGCAGUGAGGUGCA